ACUCCUGCGGGAGGCAGCAGUGGGGAAUAUUGCACAAUGGGCGCAAGCCUGAUGCAGCCAUGCCGCGUGUAUGAAGAAGGCCUUCGGGUUGUAAAGUACUUUCAGCGGGGAGGAAGGCGAUAAGGUUAAUAACCUUGUUGAUUGACGUUACCCGCAGAAGAAGCACCGGCUAACUCCGUGCCAGCAGCCGCGGUAAUACGGAGGGUGCAAGCGUUAAUCGGAAUUACUGGGCGUAAAGCGCACGCAGGCGGUCUGUCAAGUCGGAUGUGAAAUCCCCGGGCUCAACCUGGGAACUGCAUUCGAAACUGGCAGGCUAGAGUCUUGUAGAGGGGGGUAGAAUUCCAGGUGUAGCGGUGAAAUGCGUAGAGAUCUGGAGGAAUACCGGUGGCGAAGGCGGCCCCCUGGACAAAGACUGACGCUCAGGUGCGAAAGCGUGGGGAGCAAACAGGAUUAGAAACCCGUGUAGUCC
RNAcentral lists this ribosomal RNA (469 nucleotides) under uncultured organism. Its description in RNAcentral is "partial 16S ribosomal RNA". It matches the Rfam family "Bacterial small subunit ribosomal RNA", at positions 335 to 796 of the family's 1533-position model. The record is from RNAcentral.